RNAcentral lists this ribosomal RNA (496 nucleotides) under uncultured bacterium. Its description in RNAcentral is "partial 16S ribosomal RNA". It matches the Rfam family "Bacterial small subunit ribosomal RNA", at positions 28 to 507 of the family's 1533-position model. The record is from RNAcentral.
GAUGAACGCUGGCGGCGUGCCUAAUACAUGCAAGUCGAGCGAACAGACGAGGAGCUUCUCCUCUGACGUUAGCGGCGGACGGGUGAGUAACACGUGGAUAACCUACCUAUAAGACUGGGAUAACUUCGGGAAACCGGAGCUAAUACCGGAUAACAUGUUGAACCGCAUGGUUCAACAGUGAAAGACGGUCUUGCUGUCGCUUAUAGAUGGAUCCGCGCCGCAUUAGCUAGUUGGUAAGGUAACGGCUUACCAAGGCAACGAUGCGUAGCCGACCUGAGAGGGUGAUCGGCCACACUGGAACUGAGACACGGUCCAGACUCCUACGGGAGGCAGCAGUAGGGAAUCUUCCGCAAUGGGCGAAAGCCUGACGGAGCAACGCCGCGUGAGUGAAGAAGGUCUUCGGAUCGUAAAACUCUGUUAUUAGGGAAGAACAAAUGUGUAAGUAACUAUGCACGUCUUGACGGUACCUAAUCAGAAAGCCACGGCUAACUACGUG